Molecule: ribosomal RNA, 402 nt
Filed under: Klebsiella pneumoniae
Lineage: Bacteria; Pseudomonadati; Pseudomonadota; Gammaproteobacteria; Enterobacterales; Enterobacteriaceae
Description: partial 23S ribosomal RNA
Rfam family: Bacterial large subunit ribosomal RNA
Source: RNAcentral
GGUGGUUCUGAAUGGAAGGGCCAUCGCUCAACGGAUAAAAGGUACUCCGGGGAUAACAGGCUGAUACCGCCCAAGAGUUCAUAUCGACGGCGGUGUUUGGCACCUCGAUGUCGGCUCAUCACAUCCUGGGGCUGAAGUAGGUCCCAAGGGUAUGGCUGUUCGCCAUUUAAAGUGGUACGCGAGCUGGGUUUAGAACGUCGUGAGACAGUUCGGUCCCUAUCUGCCGUGGGCGCUGGAGAAUUGAGGGGGGCUGCUCCUAGUACGAGAGGACCGGAGUGGACGCAUCACUGGUGUUCGGGUUGUCAUGCCAAUGGCACUGCCCGGUAGCUAAAUGCGGAAGAGAUAAGUGCUGAAAGCAUCUAAGCACGAAACUUGCCCCGAGAUGAGUUCUCCCUGAGACUU